RNAcentral lists this RNase P RNA (430 nucleotides) under Verrucomicrobiota bacterium. RNAcentral describes it as "Verrucomicrobia bacterium RNase P RNA component class A". It matches the Rfam family "Bacterial RNase P class A". From Rfam's summary of the family: Ribonuclease P (RNase P) is a ubiquitous endoribonuclease, found in archaea, bacteria and eukarya as well as chloroplasts and mitochondria. Its best characterised activity is the generation of mature 5'-ends of tRNAs by cleaving the 5'-leader elements of precursor-tRNAs. Lineage: Bacteria; Pseudomonadati; Verrucomicrobiota. The record is from RNAcentral.
CGAUGGCAGAUGAUCGCUGGUGAGUGCCGCGUUGGUGGGACUCGCUGGAGGAAAGUCCGAACACCAUACGGUAGCAUGCCGCGUAAAAUACGCGGGCAACAUUCGCCCCGCAGCCGCGGGACGGGUGUUGACGGAAAGUGUCACAGAAAAGAGACCGCCGGUUCUUUGAGAAAAGCACAGGCAAGGGUGAAAAUGGCGAGGUAAGAGCUCACCGCUCGCGGAGUAAUUCGCGAGGCACGAAAAACCCCAUGCGGUGCAAGACAAAACAGAGGAAGGGCAGCCGGCCCGAUAAAAUCCUCGGGUAUCGUCGCACCACGGUCCCGCGACUGCGGGACCGGGCAUUCGUCCCGCGCAUGCGGGACGGAUGAGAUGAAUGAUCAUCCCGGUUGAGAAUUCAGCCGGACAGAAUUCGGCUUAUCGCCAUCGAACC